GAGACAUACGAAUCAAGAGAGGAGGAAAAAGGGAUGGUCUUCCUUUCCUGUCCUUCUUUCUCUCUUACACACACACACCUUGUGCACCUGUCGUAGAUCUUUGAAAGAGGAUCUAUGUUUUUUGCAUCCCGUCCAUUUGUAUGUCUAUAGAAUGUAAUGAAAAAUCAUAUACAACUUUCAGCAACGGAUCUCUUGGCUCUCGCAUCGAUGAAGAACGCAGCGAAUUGCGAUAAGUAAUGUGAAUUGCAGAUUUUCAGUGAAUCAUCGAAUCUUUGAACGCAUCUUGCGCUCCUUGGUAUUCCGAGGAGCAUGCCUGUUUGAGUGUCAUUGGAAUUUCCUUCAACCACGUCUUGGAUCUAUCUAUGGUCAAGGCUUAUGGCUUGGAAUUGGGAGUCUUGCUGGCUCUGUCAGCUCUCCUGAAAAUGUAAUUUAAGCAAAAAGGAUUGGAGCAUGUCUUUUCUGGGCGUGUACGGCCUUUCGGCGUGAUAAUGAUCGUCGUGGGCUGGAGCGUUCUGACAUUGUGUAGUCCUGUGCUUCUAAUAUCUUACUUUUUGGUGACUUGACCUCAAAUCAGGCAGGACUUACCCGCUGAACUUAAGCAUAUCAUAC
This 609-nucleotide ribosomal RNA is filed under the name uncultured Boletus. RNAcentral describes it as "eukaryotic LSU rRNA". The stretch from base 173 to 327 matches the Rfam family "5.8S ribosomal RNA". The record is from RNAcentral. Lineage: Eukaryota; Fungi; Basidiomycota; Agaricomycetes; Boletales; Boletaceae.